Molecule: ribosomal RNA, 429 nt
Filed under: uncultured bacterium
Lineage: Bacteria
Description: bacterial SSU rRNA
Rfam family: Bacterial small subunit ribosomal RNA
Source: RNAcentral
GGACCCGCACAAGUAGUGGAGCAUGUGGUUUAAUUCGAAGAUACGCGCAGAACCUUACCAACACUUGACAUGUUCGUCGCGACUCUAAGAGAUUAGAGUUUUCGGUUCGGCCGGACGAAACACAGGUGCUGCAUGGCUGUCGUCAGCUCGUGUCGUGAGAUGUUGGGUUAAGUCCCGCAACGAGCGCAACCCUCACUUUUAGUUGCCAUCAUUAAGUUGGGCACUCUGAAAGAACUGCCAGUGAUAAGCUGGAGGAAGGUGGGGAUGACGUCAAGUCCUCAUGGCCCUUACGUGUUGGGCUACACACGUGCUACAAUGGUAUCUACAACAGGAAGCAAGACGGCGACUCUUAGCCAAUCCCUAAAAUGUACCUCAGUUCGGAUUGUACUCUGUAACUCGAGUGCAUGAAGCUGGAAUUGCUAGUAAUCG